Long non-coding RNA from Spinacia oleracea (spinach), 430 nucleotides. RefSeq lists it as uncharacterized. The transcript is spliced from 3 exons. The record is from RefSeq and is a predicted model, not a curated record. NCBI's taxonomy places the organism in Eukaryota, Viridiplantae, Streptophyta, Magnoliopsida, Caryophyllales, Amaranthaceae.
UGCUUUUCGGAGUUACAAAAGACUAGGUGGACAAUCUAAGGGAACUAAAUUAACAUGGAUUCCAGCACAGUGUGCUCAACAACCGGGAUCACUAGAUUGUGGCUACUACGUCAUGCGUUUUAUGUACGACAUAAUAAUGAAUCAUGGUAAUAGUCAAGAUCUUACUAAGGAUUUUUCAAGAACAUUGCCUUAUUCAACGGAGGAGAUUAAUGAGGUGAAAGAUUUUUGGGCAGAUUACUUCAUGAACAAUGUCGAAUUUUGAGCUUAAUUUGUAAUAUGAACUUGAUCUCUAGCUAGCUACGUACCUUUGUUGUAAUAAUUUUAUGUUUGUUGUAACAUGUUGGUUGAUCUAUGACGAAUUUAAUUGCCUUUUAUUGGGAACGUUAAUUACGUUGUAAACUUUUGUGACAGGUAUUAUUUAUAAAUGUAU